RNAcentral lists this ribosomal RNA (377 nucleotides) under uncultured bacterium. RNAcentral's name for it is "bacterial SSU rRNA". It matches the Rfam family "Bacterial small subunit ribosomal RNA", at positions 32 to 406 of the family's 1533-position model. The record is from RNAcentral.
AAUCAACGCUGGCGGCGUGCCUAACACAUGCAAGUCGAACGCGAAAGCCCGCAAGGGCAAGUAGAGUGGCGCACGGGUGAGUAACACGUGGACAACCUGCCUUCGAGUGGGGAAUAACCUUCCGAAAGGAGGGCUAACACCGCAUAACACCUCAGGACACAAGUUCUGAGGUUGAAAAGAGCAAUUUGCUCGAAGAGGGGUCUGCGCCUGAUUAGCUAGUUGGUGAGGAACGGCUCACCAAGGCUUCGAUCAGUAGCCGUCCUGAGAGGGAGCACGGCCACACUGGAACUGAGACACGGUCCAGACUCCUACGGGAGGCAGCAGUGGGGAAUUUUUGGCAAUGGGCGAAAGACCUGACCAAGCAACGCCGCGUGGGU